UGGGGAAUAUUGCACAAUGGGCGCAAGCCUGAUGCAGCCAUGCCGCGUGUGUGAAGAAGGCCUUCGGGUUGUAAAGCACUUUCAGCGGGGAGGAAGGCGAUAAGGUUAAUAACCUUGUCGAAUGACGUUACCCGCAGAAGAAGCACCGGCUAACUCCGUGCCAGCAGCCGCGGUAAUACGGAGGGUGCAAGCGUUAAUCGGAAUUACUGGGCGUAAAGCGCACGCAGGCGGUCUGUCAAGUCGGAUGUGAAAUCCCCGGGCUCAACCUGGGAACUGCAUUCGAAACUGGCAGGCUAGCGUCUUGUAGAGGGGGGUAGAAUUCCAGGUGUAGCGGUGAAAUGCGUACAGAUCUGUAGGAAUACCGGUGGCGAAGGCGGCCCCCUGGACAAAGACUGACGCUCAGGUGCGAAAGCGUGGGGAGCAAACAGG
This 429-nucleotide ribosomal RNA is filed under the name Chloroflexota bacterium. RNAcentral's name for it is "Chloroflexi bacterium partial 16S ribosomal RNA". It matches the Rfam family "Bacterial small subunit ribosomal RNA", at positions 355 to 776 of the family's 1533-position model. The record is from RNAcentral. Lineage: Bacteria; Bacillati; Chloroflexota.